Molecule: long non-coding RNA, 996 nt
Organism: Pomacea canaliculata
Lineage: Eukaryota; Metazoa; Mollusca; Gastropoda; Architaenioglossa; Ampullariidae
Exons: 2
Source: RefSeq, a predicted model, not a curated record
AGAUAUACAUAUUCAUUGUUGGUGGGAACAGAACAAGCCGUUGCCGACAGCAACACACGUGGUGAUGAACACAUGACUCCUGGUGUCCGGGAUGUAUGGGUUGCUAGAAGACGUUGAUGUCAUACACAAACCAUCCGUUCCUUCGUCAUUGCAGGUAUGGACAGAAGAGCGAACACCUUCCAAACUUCUUUUACAGGUAAAUUCGUCCCUUUCACCCGCAAGGUCAGUUAAUCUUCGAGGGGGAAUAGAAAGCUGCAAAUUAUUCACACGUGCGAACUCAACCGUUGUCAUAUCUGAUUAAUAAGAUCUAUGACGUAUUCUAGUGUCACGUGUCAACCUGAAAAAUCAAGUAUAGAUACUUUGAUGGAAGUCUUCGCAAAGUUGUCUCUUGAUAUACAAAACGAUCAACCACCUUGUUUAUUUUUGUUUGUUUUCGGCUGUUUUUUUUUGCGCCUUGAGUCUUUCUGCUCCAUAUUAUCAUAAUGUUCAUUUACUUUCUUGCUUCACUAUAAGAGGUAGAAGAGACAAAAAGGAUGUAUGGUGGUUCAGCUUUUGCUUUGGGAUCAAAACUUUAGCAUCUGAGCUAAAAGGCAAGAUAUGUAAAUUAGAACGAGCAGCAAACUUUGACGAUCUGGUUCCAGACAGACAUGAUUGGUAAGUAUUAUCAUGUGAGGGUUGCUAUGACUUAUGCUUUAGGUCUGUAUCGACCCCAUCAUGUAUAUGUUAACCUCUUUAUCUAUCACAUCUUCAGAAACUAUGCCUAGUGUGUGUUGGGUGGUGUAGUCGCGGUAAAGGGGAGCACGUGGAAACAGUCAAAAGGAAAAACAAUCCUCACAGCUUGCUACAAAAAGAAUAUAUAAAUUAAAUAACCCACCUAAGAAAUGAAUGUUUAUAUCUGGUCGUAAAUAUAUAUUGAUUGCUUUCGACAAAUGCGUCAGUGUACUCGUUUCACUGGGAAGAAAAAUAAAAAAUAAAAAAUGUCACCAUGGAAACAGA